Long non-coding RNA from Daphnia magna, 645 nucleotides. RefSeq lists it as uncharacterized. Lineage: Eukaryota; Metazoa; Arthropoda; Branchiopoda; Diplostraca; Daphniidae. The record is from RefSeq and is a predicted model, not a curated record. The transcript is spliced from 2 exons.
CUGGUAGGGAAUCUUAGAACCCCUUACUAAACACCCGCCGCUCUGGAGAUAGGACCCUAGUUUAUAGGACGAUCGUGUACUGUACUGUACCUUUCCUAUUAUAUCGUGCUCAGACCAAAGUGCUUAGACAUUCCUUUCCUUUCCUUGUCCACGACAUCUAGCGGAACAACAAGAACUAUACUUUUUGCCCUAUUCCAGUCGUCCCCCACUAGAAUUCCCAAAACUCCCGCAACGAACGCCACCGGUAACGCCGCCCAUGUCUGUAUCUAAUUGUCCACUUUGUUUAAGUAAAUAUUUAACUACGCAAAUAAACUCACAUUUAUGCAAAAAAACUUUUAUUUAUAUCAAAGACAACAUCAAAUAGAAUUAUGUGAGGAAAACAAAACCCAUCCCAACUCCUAAGUAACUCUGAUCUUCCCUAUUUUAAUUUUUAAUACGCUGGCUAAAGCCAUUACGGGACGAAAAUGCGUUUUCAUUUACUACUAUACUUCAUGUAAAUUUUCAUGUAAAAAGCUGAAGAAAGGAAAACCCUGUCUGACACAGUGACGUCCAAAUAAAUGGUUAAUUAAAGAACAGGAGGAGUUAUAUAAAAACGUGCGUGAAAUGGCGUUCCGUAUUAAAUAAAACAUCACGCUUUACACCUGA